CCCAGCUAGGAGCUGAACCUUCUGGGGCACCAUUUUGCUGCUUUUGUCAUCUCCAAAUCCAAGCCUCCCAUGUUCCCCUCUUCCCCAAGCAUAUACCUGAAUGGACACAAAAAGACAUAACUACAAAUGUUGAUUCAAAAGCAAAUGUUGGAACAGUAACUCUUGAAAAGCUAUUUUGCUCUUGUUACUCAUAGUAGUCCAUUGGAAGAGUCAGAUGCCAUAUAUGUAGUUGUCUAUGAAAGUUUGGGUUGCUUCUCAUGCCAUAUCUCACUAGUCAGCCUCAUUGCAUAAAAACAGAGUAAGUUCGGUUUAUAUGCAAAACCCCUUGAAGCUAAAAUGUGAAUAUCCAAUAUAAAUACAAUGUGUUAUUUUUUUUCUUCAUAAUGUAUACCUACGAC
RNAcentral lists this long non-coding RNA (398 nucleotides) under Phoenix dactylifera (date palm). Its description in RNAcentral is "long non-coding RNA (PDAC_LNC021273)". Lineage: Eukaryota; Viridiplantae; Streptophyta; Magnoliopsida; Arecales; Arecaceae. The record is from RNAcentral.